UCUCAGUACCGCGGAUUUUUACACACAGAGAAAGAGAAAAAAAUCUAGAUUCUACGAGAUCGAAAGAGUCGUUUCAAAAAGAGUCAGUAAGAAAAAGAUUGAAUACUUCAUCAAGUGGAAGGGCUACUCGAGCCUACAAAACUCCUGGGAGCCAGAAGAGAAUUUAAACGCCUUUGCUUUGAGGUCAUUCAACAACCCAAGGCUCACACAGCAAGAGAUUGCUGAUGCCAGUGAGGGUCUCCACAUUGGUAUUUUAGAGCAAUUAAAAUCGAAGUCUCAAUUACCCACUGUCAUUGCUUUUAACCACACUUAUUUUAACUUUUUGUUUAAAGAUAAGGGACGGAAAAGUAAUGACAGUGGAUACAUCCUCCUUGAAAAAGAGGAUUUUAUAAGAUGCCACUUUCCUAAUGGGUGGCACAGGCUAAUAGAUAGUAUAGGGGAUGGGGUGCAAAUUGACUUUCCUGUGAAGGUCAGAUUGUUUUUGUCAUGGAGUCCAAAGACUCAUAGCUUGACAGGGGAGUCAAUUACACCUUGCCCACGAUAUAGGCCAGAAAAAUUGAGUAUUUCUUUUUGUAAAGCAGCAUGUAGCCUGACAUGAGACAAAUUAAAGAAACCAAGACUUGAUUUGAUUCUAUUUGGCAUUGUGUAUUUAUUACAAAAUAGAAAAUCUAUAUUUUUGUAGUAGUUCAUCACAUAUUCUUAUAUUGAGUCAAAUUUUUCAUAUUUACAACCUAGAAGUACUUGCGGUGUGCAGGCUGUUUUUCAAUUUGUUAAGUAAGUAUAAAGGACACAAGAGUAGACCUCCACUUCAUUGAAUGCUAGCUUUAAGAGAACAUUUUUACAAUCCAAAGAACAAAAAAAUCAAUAGUUUUGUAGUAUUUGAGAUUGCUAUCCCAAUCAUUGUUGUUAUUGUUCUAUUUUUCAAUACUGAGUUCUCUCCAUUGUUCAGUGCAGUGGUGGUCACUGAAACUACCCCAGAUAUAUAUGUUACCCUCGUGGUAAACUAAGCGUUACUCAGGUUCUUCAGGAUCAAAUGUUGUUUUCCUUUUCUUGCUCCUUGCCUAUAGGAGAUCUUUUUCCCAGUAUUCUGUAUUUGAUUUAUUAUAUGGCCUUUUCUCCCUUUCUGAUUUACGUAGUGCCCAUUGUCUGGCCUCAACUUUUAGGACAUCUGAGGCAGCAUCCCAUUUAUUUGAUUUAUGUAAUACAAUGUUUCUAGCAUAAUCAUUGUUUUUCUCCACACCCUGCCCUGUGAAAAUUUUUACAGACUUGUGGGUCCUGAAGAACUUGGGGAUAUGGAACACCAUAGCAUGGAUAUACGGUGUUAUUCGUGCACGUUCAUAGCCCUUUCUUUUGUCUCUUAGAGAAAUGAAAAGGUUUACCCAGCUUUUAGCCUUUUCAAAAAAAUCUGUAAUUUGCUUAUCUGAAUUUUGACCACUUCCAAUAAAUGUAUAUAGUUCCCUAAAGUCUUCCCAUAUUUUCUUGACAGUAUUUGAAGUUGAAGUCUGAACAACACUUAAAAUUUUGCCUGGGAGCUCUCUCAGGAGUUGCUUUUUGUCAUUCCCAAGCAAACUUGUAAAAUCAUAGGUGCCUGAUCCCUUUCCAUCAGCAUUGGUUUUUUCCCAGAUAUCAAAACUAACCCCACAUGAGCGUACUGCAGCCUGCAGCCUCUCUCGAUGAACACCUUUCUUUUCUCCCCUUUUCUUAUUUAAAUCAUCUUUUUUGUCCCACUGUAAUACAUCCUCCAGUAAAUUAUUUAGUAACACAUCAACUACUCUAAGCAAAAGGUGCAAUUCGUCUAAAAUUACAUGAUCUAACUCAAUGUUUAAUAGAGGCUCAU
Non-coding RNA from Pocillopora verrucosa, 1837 nucleotides. Lineage: Eukaryota; Metazoa; Cnidaria; Anthozoa; Scleractinia; Pocilloporidae. The record is from RefSeq and is a predicted model, not a curated record.